GGGCCCGCACAAGCGGCGGAGCAUGCGGAUUAAUUCGAUGCAACGCGAAGAACCUUACCAAGGCUUGACAUACACCGGAUGGGCGCAGAGAUGUGUCUUCCGUAAGGUCGGUGUACAGGUGGUGCAUGGUUGUCGUCAGCUCGUGUCGUGAGAUGUUGGGUUAAGUCCCGCAACGAGCGCAACCCUCGUUCUAUGUUGCCAGCACGUUGUGGUGGGGACUCAUUAGGAGACUGCCGGGGUCAACUCGGAGGAAGGUGGGGAUGACGUCAAAUCAUCAUGCCCCUUAUGUCUUGGGCUUCACGCAUGCUACAAUGGCCGGUACAAAGGGUUGCGAUACCCGUGAGGUGGAGCUAAUCCCAGAUAAGCCGGUCUCAGUUCGGAUUGGGGUCUGCAACUCGACCCCAUGAAGUCGGAGUCGCUAGUAAUCGCAGAUCAGCAACGCUG
This 444-nucleotide ribosomal RNA is filed under the name uncultured Actinomycetes bacterium. RNAcentral's name for it is "bacterial SSU rRNA". It matches the Rfam family "Bacterial small subunit ribosomal RNA", at positions 917 to 1359 of the family's 1533-position model. Lineage: Bacteria; Bacillati; Actinomycetota; Actinomycetes. The record is from RNAcentral.